Molecule: ribosomal RNA, 474 nt
Filed under: bacterium 2311-S3-10-2.2
Lineage: Bacteria
Description: bacterial SSU rRNA
Rfam family: Bacterial small subunit ribosomal RNA
Source: RNAcentral
CAAGUCGAGCGGAACGAGUUAUCUGAACCUUCGGGGGACGAUAACGGCGUCGAGCGGCGGACGGGUGAGUAAUGCCUAGGAAAUUGCCCUGAUGUGGGGGAUAACCAUUGGAAACGAUGGCUAAUACCGCAUAAUGCCUACGGGCCAAAGAGGGGGACCUUCGGGCCUCUCGCGUCAGGAUAUGCCUAGGUGGGAUUAGCUAGUUGGUGAGGUAAGGGCUCACCAAGGCGACGAUCCCUAGCUGGUCUGAGAGGAUGAUCAGCCACACUGGAACUGAGACACGGUCCAGACUCCUACGGGAGGCAGCAGUGGGGAAUAUUGCACAAUGGGCGCAAGCCUGAUGCAGCCAUGCCGCGUGUGUGAAGAAGGCCUUCGGGUUGUAAAGCACUUUCAGUCGUGAGGAAGGUAGUGUAGUUAAUAGCUGCAUUAUUUGACGUUAGCGACAGAAGAAGCACCGGCUAACUCCGUGCCAGC